CUACUAAUAAGUUCCAACUUUAGUAAGUUCAUGUUCUAACCAGCAGGAAUGUCACUAUUGCAACUCCAGAUUCCUUCACCAAAAACCUGAAACAAUACUUUAAUACCAUUACAGUGAGGUUAAUCAAUUCUUAGCACUAGAUGCUGAUGGGCAUUGCACUUCUUUUGCGUCAACGCCUUCUGCAGGAACUGGUUGAUCGUUCACCUUUAAACUCAACGACCGUGGCUUCAUCUUCUGGACCUCCUCUCUAGUGUAGAUACCAAUCUUGCGAACCAUGGCACAAAACUCCCUAAUGAACAAGCAAUAAUCAGAUGAUGUAUAUACCACAAAACUGAAACAUGU
Hibiscus syriacus is the source of this 342-nucleotide long non-coding RNA. RefSeq lists it as uncharacterized. NCBI's taxonomy places the organism in Eukaryota, Viridiplantae, Streptophyta, Magnoliopsida, Malvales, Malvaceae. The record is from RefSeq and is a predicted model, not a curated record. The transcript is spliced from 3 exons.